AUACUUACCUGGCAGGGGAGACACCAUGAUCAGGCAGGUGGUUUUCCCAGGGCAAGGCUCAUCCCUUGCUCCCGUGCACUCCAGGUGUGCUGACCCCUGCGAUUUCCCCAAAUGCAGGAAACUCGAUAGAAUAAUUUGUGGGAGUGGGGGACUGUGUAAUUUAUUUCUUUU
Molecule: small nuclear RNA, 171 nt
Organism: Struthio camelus australis
Lineage: Eukaryota; Metazoa; Chordata; Aves; Struthioniformes; Struthionidae
Gene: U1
Rfam family: U1 spliceosomal RNA
About the family: U1 is a small nuclear RNA (snRNA) component of the spliceosome (involved in pre-mRNA splicing).
Source: Ensembl